RNAcentral lists this ribosomal RNA (253 nucleotides) under uncultured bacterium. RNAcentral's name for it is "partial 16S ribosomal RNA". It matches the Rfam family "Bacterial small subunit ribosomal RNA", at positions 524 to 776 of the family's 1533-position model. The record is from RNAcentral.
UACGUAGGGUGCGAGCGUUAAUCGGAAUUACUGGGCGUAAAGCGUGCGCAGGCGGUCUCGUAAGCUGGGUGUGAAAGCCCCGGGCUUAACCUGGGAAUGGCAUUCAGGACUGCGAGGCUCGAGUGUGGCAGAGGGAGGUGGAAUUCCACGUGUAGCAGUGAAAUGCGUAGAGAUGUGGAUGAACACCGAUGGCGAAGGCAACCUCCUGGGCCAGCACUGACGCUCAUGCACGAAAGCUUGGGGAGCAAUCAUG